GACGAACGCUGGCGGCGUGCCUAACACAUGCAAGUCGAACGAAGCUCCCUGAACAGCGACUUCGGUCAACGGGAUGGGAAGACUUAGUGGCGGACGGGUGAGUAACGCGUGAGGAACCUGCCUUUCAGUGGGGGACAACAGUUGGAAACGACUGCUAAUACCGCAUAACGCGUAGAGGUCGCAUGGCCUUUACGCCAAAGAUUUAUCGCUGAAAGAUGGCCUCGCGUCUGAUUAGCUAGUUGGUGAGGUAACGGCCCACCAAGGCGACGAUCAGUAGCCGGACUGAGAGGUUGAACGGCCACAUUGGGACUGAGAUACGGCCCAGACUCCUACGGGAGGCAGCAGUGGGGAAUAUUGGGCAAUGGGCGCAAGCCUGACCCAGCAAUGCCGCGUGAAGGAGAAGGCUUUCGGGUUGUAAACUUCUUUUGUCAGGACGAGUAGAAGACGGUACCUGACGAAUAAGCCACGGCUAACUACGUG
RNAcentral lists this ribosomal RNA (480 nucleotides) under uncultured bacterium. Its description in RNAcentral is "bacterial SSU rRNA". It matches the Rfam family "Bacterial small subunit ribosomal RNA", at positions 28 to 507 of the family's 1533-position model. The record is from RNAcentral.